CUUGGUUGAUCCUGCCAGUAGUCAUAUGCUUGUCUCAAAGAUUAAGCCAUGCAUGUGUAAACAUGAAUUAAUACAAACUGUGAAACUAUGAAUGGCUCAUUAAAUCAAUUAUAGUUUGUUUGAUGGUAUCAGCUACUCGGAUAACCGUAGCAAUUCUAGAGCUAAUAUGUGCAACAAACCCUAACUUUUGGAAGGGAUGCAUUUAUUAGAUAAAAGGUCAAUGCAAGCUUUACCCAUUACUUUGAUGAUUCAUGGUAACUCAAUGGAUCGCAUAGCCUUUAUGCCGAUGAUGCACCAUUCAAAUUUUUGCCCUAUCAACUUUUAAUGGUAGGAUAGUGGGCUAUUAUGGUGGUGACGGGUGACAAAGAAUUAGGGUUUGAUUCUAUAGUGGGAGCUUGAGAAACUGCUGCAAAUCUAAGGAAGGCAGCAAGUGUGCAAAUUACCUAAUCCUAACACGAUGUGGUAGUGGCAAUAAAUAACAAAACUCGACUCUAUGAGUCUGGUAUUUAGAAUGAAUACAAUCUAAAUCCCAUAACGAGGAUCCAUUAGAAGGCAAGUCUAGUGCCAACAGUUGUAGUAAUUCUAGCUUCAAUAGGUUAUAUUUAAGUUGUUGUAGUUAAAAAGCUUGUAGUUGAAACUAGGGUUAGGUCAUCCAGUUUGCCUUAUGAUGAGCAUUGAUCUACUCAUCCCUACUAUUAGUGAUGCACUCUUGGCUUUGACUGGUUAGGUCAUUCCUUUGGCAUUGUUACUUUGAAGAAAUUAGAGUGCUCAAAGUAGGCCUAUGCUUGUAUAUGUUAGCAUGGGAUAACAUCAUAGGAUUUUGGUCCUAUUGUGUUGGCCUUUGGGAUCGGAGUAACGAUUAAUAGGGACAGUUAGGGGCAUUUAUAUUUCAUACUCAGAGGUGAAAUUCUUAGAUCUAUGAAAGAUGAAUAGCUGUGAAAGCAUUUGCCAAGGAUGUUUUCAUUAAUAAAGAGUGAAAGUUAGGGGCUCGAAAAGGAUCAGAUACCAUCAUAGUAUUAACCAUAAACGAUGUAGACCAGGGAUCAAUGGAUGUCAAUUUUAGGCUCCACUGGCACCCUAUGAGAAAUCAAAGUCUUUAGGUUUAGGGGGGUAUGGUCAUAAGGUUGAAACUUAAAGGAAUAGAUGGAAUGGGACCACCAGGAGUAGAGCCUAUAGCUUAAUUUGACUCAACAUAGGGAAACUUACCAGGUCUAGACAUAGUAAGGAUUGACAGAUUGAGAGCUCUUUUUUGAUUCUAUGGGUUGUGGUGCAUGGCCAUUCCUAGUUGGUGGAGUGAUUUGUUUGGUUAAUUCCAUUAACGAAUGAGACUUAGCCUGCUAACUAGCUAUACUGAGGUGAUCCUUCAUGGCCAGAUUCUUAGAGGAACUAUGACCACUUAGGCUAAAGAAGUUUAAGGCAAUAAUAGGUUUGUGAUGCCCUUAGAUGGUCUAGGCUGCAAGCGUGCUACACUGAUGUAUUCAAUGAGUUCAUAACCUUGGUUGAUGGCCCAGGUAAUCAUUGAAAUUUCAUCAUGGUGGGGAUAGAUCAUUGCAAUUGUUGAUCUUCAAUGAGGAAUUCCUAGUAAGCGCAAGUCCUUAGCUCGUGUUGACUAGAUCUUUACAUUUCGUACACAUCGCCCAUCACUUUUACUAAUUGAAUGGUCUAGUGAAGUGUUAAGAUCAUGCCAGUGUGGCUUGCUCACUACCCAUGACAUUGUGAAAAGUCCACUAAACCUUAACAUUUAGAGGAAGGAAAAAUCGUAACAAGAUUUUUAUAGGUGAACAUGUGGAAG
Molecule: ribosomal RNA, 1792 nt
Filed under: Durio zibethinus
Lineage: Eukaryota; Viridiplantae; Streptophyta; Magnoliopsida; Malvales; Malvaceae
Description: SSU rRNA
Rfam family: Eukaryotic small subunit ribosomal RNA
Source: RNAcentral